Molecule: ribosomal RNA, 486 nt
Filed under: Streptococcus gordonii
Lineage: Bacteria; Bacillati; Bacillota; Bacilli; Lactobacillales; Streptococcaceae
Description: bacterial SSU rRNA
Rfam family: Bacterial small subunit ribosomal RNA
Source: RNAcentral
GACGAACGCUGGCGGCGUGCCUAAUACAUGCAAGUAGAACGCACAGUUUAUACCGUAGCUUGCUACACCAUAGACUGUGAGUUGCGAACGGGUGAGUAACGCGUAGGUAACCUGCCUGGUAGCGGGGGAUAACUAUUGGAAACGAUAGCUAAUACCGCAUAAUAUUAAUUAUUGCAUGAUAAUUGAUUGAAAGGUGCAAUUGCACCACUACCAGAUGGACCUGCGUUGUAUUAGCUAGUAGGUGAGGUAACGGCUCACCUAGGCGACGAUACAUAGCCGACCUGAGAGGGUGAUCGGACACACUGGGACUGAGACACGGCCCAGACUCCUACGGGAGGCAGCAGUAGGGAAUCUUCGGCAAUGGACGAAAGUCUGACCGAGCAACGCCGCGUGAGUGAAGAAGGUUUUCGGAUCGUAAAGCUCUGUUGUAAGAGAAGAACGGGUGUGAGAGUGGAAAGUUCACACUGUGACGGUAUCUACCAGAAA